GAUGAACGCUGGCGGCGUGCCUAACACAUGCAAGUCGAGCGGCAGCGAGGGGUGCUUGCACCCUGUCGGCGAGCGGCGGACGGCUGAGUAACGCGUGGGAACGUGCCCCAAAGUGAGGAAUAACUGCCCGAAAGGGUAGCUAAUACCGCAUAUUAUCUUCGGAUCAAAGGAGUUAUCCGCUUUGGGAGCGGCUCGCGUCGGAUUAGGGAGUUGGUGAGGUAAUGGCUCGCCAAGCCGACGAUCCGUAGCUGGUCUGAGAGGAUGACCAGCCAGACUGGAACUGAGACACGGUCCAGACUCCUACGGGAGGCAGCAGUGAGGAAUCUUCCACAAUGGGCGAAAGCCUGAUGGAGCAACGCCGCGUGCAGGACGAAGGCCUUCGGGUUGUAAACUGCUUUUAUAAGUGAGGAAUAUGACGGUAACUUAUGAAUAAGGAUCGGCUAACUACGUG
Molecule: ribosomal RNA, 451 nt
Filed under: uncultured bacterium
Lineage: Bacteria
Description: partial 16S ribosomal RNA
Rfam family: Bacterial small subunit ribosomal RNA
Source: RNAcentral